RNAcentral lists this ribosomal RNA (454 nucleotides) under uncultured bacterium. RNAcentral's name for it is "bacterial SSU rRNA". It matches the Rfam family "Bacterial small subunit ribosomal RNA", at positions 340 to 786 of the family's 1533-position model. The record is from RNAcentral.
UACGGAAGGCAGCAGUGGGGAAUAUUGCACAAUGGGCGCAAGCCUGAUGCAGCCAUGCCGCGUGUAUGAAAAAGGCCUUCGGGUUGUAAAGUACUUUCAGUCGUGAGGAAGGUGUUAAGGUUAAUAACCUUAGCAAUUGACGUUAGCGACAGAAGAAGCACCGGCUAACUCCGUGCCAGCAGCCGCGGUAAUACGGAGGGUGCGAGCGUUAAUCGGAAUUACUGGGCGUAAAGGGCACGCAGGCGGUUAAUUAAGUUGGAUGUGAAAUCCCCGGGCUUAACCUGGGAAUGGCAUUCAAGACUGGUUAGCUAGAGUCUUGUAGAGGGGGUAGAAUUCCAUGUGUAGCGGUGAAAUGCGUAGAGAUGUGGAGGAAUACCGGUGGCGAAGGCGGCCCCUGGCAAAGGACUGACGCUCAUGUGCGAAAGCGUGGGGAGCAAACGAGGGAUUAGAUACC